GACGAACGCUGGCGGCGUGCUUAACACAUGCAAGUCGAACGGAAAGGCCCCUUUGGGGGUACUCGAGUGGCGAACGGGUGAGUAACACGUGAGUAACCUGCCCUUGACUUCGGGAUAACUUCAGGAAACUGGGGCUAAUACCGGAUAGGAAUCAUUGCUGCAUGGUGGGGGUUGGAAAGCUUCGGGGGUUUGGGGUGGACUCGCGGCUUAUUAGCUUGGUGGUGGGGGAGUGGCUUACCAAGGCUUUGACGGGGAGCCGGCCUGAGAGGGCGGCCGGCCACAUUGGGACUGAGGAUCGGCCCAGACUCCUACGGGAGGCAGCAGUGGGGAAUAUUGCACAAUGGGCGGAAGCCUGAUGCAGCAACGCCGCGUGCGGGAUGACGGCCUUCGGGUUGUAAACCGCUUUCAGCAGGGGCGAAGCUUGUGGUGACGGUACCUGCAGAAGAAGCACCGGCUAACUACGUG
This 465-nucleotide ribosomal RNA is filed under the name uncultured bacterium. RNAcentral describes it as "partial 16S ribosomal RNA". It matches the Rfam family "Bacterial small subunit ribosomal RNA", at positions 28 to 507 of the family's 1533-position model. The record is from RNAcentral.